Molecule: long non-coding RNA, 724 nt
Filed under: Medicago truncatula (barrel medic)
Lineage: Eukaryota; Viridiplantae; Streptophyta; Magnoliopsida; Fabales; Fabaceae
Description: long non-coding RNA (MTRU_LNC007951)
Source: RNAcentral
AGUGAGGUAGUGGUAUGACAACAAAGUUUGAAUGUUUCUGGAAGCCAUGUUGAUUAAGAAAUUUCGGUUUAAGAGAAAGGUAUGGUUUUAGAAAUAGAUUUCGGUUUAGGAGAAAGGAUUUAAAUAUAUUGGUGAGGGUUUGGAGGAGGGGAGUUAGGAGAUAUGGUUUAUGGAAAUCAAUUAGAUAGGUUUUAGGGGGAGUGAAGUUAGGAAAUCAUGGUUAGGGUUUCGAGGAGGGGAAUUAGGAAAUAUGGUUAGGUUUUGAAGGAGGGAAAAGUUGCUAAAAUAUUAGGUUAAAAUAUUAGGUUAAAAUUAGGGCAACCAAGCUUUGUUUAGGAAUAAGAGAUUUCGGUUUAGGAGAAAGGAUUUAAAUAUAUUGGUGAGGGUUUGGAGGAGGGGAGUUAGGAGAUAUGGUUUAUGGAAAUCAAUUAGAUAGGUUUUAGGGGGAGUGAAGUUAGGAAAUCAUGGUUAGGGUUUCGAGGAGGGGAAUUAGGAAAUAUGGUUGAUUAAGAAAUUUCGGUUUAAGAGAAAGGUAUGGUUUUAGAAAUAGAUUUCGGUUUAGGAGAAAGGAUUUAAAUAUAUUGGUGAGGGUUUGGAGGAGGGGAGUUAGGAGAUAUGGUUUAUGGAAAUCAAUUAGAUAGGUUUUAGGGGGAGUGAAGUUAGGAAAUCAUGGUUAGGGUUUCGAGGAGGGGAAUUAGGAAAUAUGGUUAGGUUUUGAAGGAGG